AUUGAACGCUGGCGGUAUGCUUAACACAUGCAAGUCGAACGAUGAGAAAGAGCUUGCUCUUUCGAUUAGUGGCGGACGGGUGCGUAACGCGUAGGAAUCUACCUAUUAGUGGGGGACAACUUAGGGAAACUUAAGCUAAUACCACAUACGCCCUACGGGGGAAAGGAGGGGAUCGCAAGACCUUUCGCUAAUAGAUGAGCCUGCGUAGGAUUAGCUAGUUGGUGGGGUAAAGGCUCACCAAGGCGACGAUCCUUAACUGGUUUGAGAGAAUGAUCAGUCACACUGGAACUGAGACACGGUCCAGACUCCUACGGGAGGCAGCAGUGGGGAAUAUUGGACAAUGGGCGAAAGCCUGAUCCAGCAAUACCGCGUGUGUGAAGAAGGCCUUAGGGUUGUAAAGCACUUUCAAUUGGAAGGAAAAAUUCGUGGCUAAUAUCCGCGAACUUGACAUUACCUUUAGAAGAAGCACCGGCUAACUCCGUGCCAGCAGCCGCGGUAA
Molecule: ribosomal RNA, 499 nt
Filed under: uncultured bacterium
Lineage: Bacteria
Description: partial 16S ribosomal RNA
Rfam family: Bacterial small subunit ribosomal RNA
Source: RNAcentral